RNAcentral lists this ribosomal RNA (356 nucleotides) under Rhizobium leguminosarum. RNAcentral describes it as "bacterial LSU rRNA". It matches the Rfam family "Bacterial large subunit ribosomal RNA", at positions 1207 to 1668 of the family's 2925-position model. Lineage: Bacteria; Pseudomonadati; Pseudomonadota; Alphaproteobacteria; Hyphomicrobiales; Rhizobiaceae. The record is from RNAcentral.
AUGUGUAGCAAUACACGUGGUAGCGGAGCGUUCCGUAAGCUGAUGAAGGGAGACCCGUGAGGGCUCCUGGAGGUAUCGGAAGUGCGAAUGUUGACAUGAGUAACGAUAAAGAGGGUGAGAGACCCUCUCGCCGAAAGACCAAGGGUUCCUGCUUAAAGUUAAUCUGAGCAGGGUUAGCCGGCCCCUAAGACGAGGCGGACACGCGUAGUCGAUGGGAACCACGUUAAUAUUCGUGGGCCUGGUGGUAGUGACGGAUUGCACAAGUUGUUCAUUCUUAUUGGAUUGGAUGGGCAGCGGAGCGGUUCCARGAAAUAGCUCCACCGUAUAGACCGUACCCGAAACCGACACAGGUGGUC